This 234-nucleotide unclassified non-coding RNA is filed under the name uncultured fungus. Its description in RNAcentral is "sequence contains ITS1, 5.8S rRNA gene". The stretch from base 186 to 234 matches the Rfam family "5.8S ribosomal RNA", at positions 1 to 49 of the family's 154-position model. Lineage: Eukaryota; Fungi. The record is from RNAcentral.
UCUCCGUAGGUGAACCUGCGGAGGGAUCAUUACCGAGUGAGGGCUCCGGCCCGACCUCCAACCCUUUUGACGUUACCAUCUCAGUUGCCUCGGGGGGCGACCCGUACUCGGUCGAGGACGGGCCACCCCCGGUGGACCACCCAACCCUGCAUCGUUGCGUCUGAGUCGAAAUAUAAAUCAAUCAAAACUUUCAACAACGGAUCUCUUGGUUCUGGCAUCGAUGAAGAACGCAGC